AGUGCCUGCAACAUGAGCUGGAAGCAGAGAGAGCUCUCAGGAGGCAGGAACAGGAAGACACAGCUCAACAGCUCCUGCGGGCAGAGCAGCAGCAUCAUGAAAGCCUCAGGCUUCAGGGAACUGCUCAGCAAGUGGAAAUAAAGAAGCUCCUGGAUGACCUGGCAAGUGAGCGCAAAAGGCACCGUGCAGAGAUGCAGGAGACGCUGGAGCAAUGGGAAAAAGAGAAA
This is a long non-coding RNA of Haemorhous mexicanus (house finch), 227 nucleotides long. RefSeq lists it as uncharacterized. The record is from RefSeq and is a predicted model, not a curated record. The transcript is spliced from 2 exons. NCBI's taxonomy places the organism in Eukaryota, Metazoa, Chordata, Aves, Passeriformes, Fringillidae.